This 194-nucleotide unclassified non-coding RNA is filed under the name plant metagenome. Its description in RNAcentral is "partial contains small subunit ribosomal RNA and internal transcribed spacer 1". The stretch from base 1 to 47 matches the Rfam family "Eukaryotic small subunit ribosomal RNA", at positions 1785 to 1831 of the family's 1831-position model. The record is from RNAcentral.
AAUGUCGUAACAAGGUUUCCGUAGGUGAACCUGCGGAAGGAUCAUUAAAGAAUUAGGCUUCGCGGCCAAAGGUUCUCACCCUUUCGUAUACCGAAAUCCAUGUUGCUUUGGCAGGCCCCAUGCAUUUCUCGGGCCUGCCAGAGGUUAUAAACCCUAGAACUCUCUGCUGUCUGAGUACUAUACGAUGUUAAAAU